RNAcentral lists this ribosomal RNA (460 nucleotides) under uncultured bacterium. RNAcentral describes it as "partial 16S ribosomal RNA". It matches the Rfam family "Bacterial small subunit ribosomal RNA", at positions 338 to 795 of the family's 1533-position model. The record is from RNAcentral.
CCUACGGGAGGCAGCAGUGAGGAAUAUUGGUCAAUGGACGAGAGUCUGAACCAGCCAAGUAGCGUGAAGGAUGACUGCCCUAUGGGUUGUAAACUUCUUUUAUAAAGGAAUAAAACGAGGCACGUGUGCCUUUUUGCAUGUACUUUAUGAAUAAGGAUCGGCUAACUCCGUGCCAGCAGCCGCGGUAAUACGGAGGAUCCGAGCGUUAUCCGGAUUUAUUGGGUUUAAAGGGAGCGUAGAUGGGUUGUUAAGUCAGUUGUGAAAGUUUGCGGCUCAACCGUAAAAUUGCAAUUGAUACUGGCAGUCGUGAGUACAGUUGAGGUAAGCGGAAGUAGUGGUGUAGCGGUGAAAUGCUUAGAUAUCACGAAGAACCCCGAUUGCGAAGGCAGCUUACUAAACUGUGACUGACAUUGAUGCUCGAAAGUGUGGGUAUCAAACAGGAUUAGAUACCCCUGUAGUC